UGUUUAGUAUUUUUAUGGAUAUUCUGCAGCAACGCAGUUGCAGCAAACGAAAACGAAAAGGCAACUGCCGAAGCAACAGUAUUGAUCAAUGGGGACAAUGUGACUAAGGCAGAAGCAGCAGUUCAGUCUGGCCGCAUUAUCAACGGUGUUGGUGUGGAUAUUGCAAGAUAUCCUUUUGCAUUAAGUUUACGCCUCGAUGGCAACUUCUAUUGCGGUGCUGUUGUCAUCUCAUUAUCUCAUGCACUGACGGGUGGUGUAGCUGUUUAUCGAUUUCGUGACAGCGUUCAAAGAUUGACUCUCUACGGAGGCAGUAAAUCAGCAACAUCCGGAGGCGUAUUAUUUCAAGUGAUCAGGAUCACUGUUCAUCCUAACUUUAACCCGAAUGUUCAAGUAUCUGAUUUCAAUAUUGGCGUCCUCGCUGUGUCAACGAAUGCCUUUGGAGGAAGGCCGAAUAUUGCUCCAAUAACGCUUACAUCAAUUGGAGUAGAAAUUGGCACUAAAUGCUCCGUGUACGGAUGGGGCAGAACAAAUGUUAAUAUCCCUGGGGCUGCUAGCACAUUACGUUCUGCUGAAAUGAUCAUCACAUCGGGUGGUACCUGUGCGAAACAAUGGGCUCCGUUAGCAGUUCAAAUUACUUCAAACAUGCUCUGUGCUAAGGGCGUUAAAGGAGCGGACUUGUGUUAUGAAGAUUUUGGUGAUGCUCUGUUGUGCGGUGGAAGGCUGACUGGGGUCGCUUUCUUAACAAAUUCUAGAUGUGAUAACGCUCGGGAUACAGCAUAUGUGAAGAUAACGGCAUCAAGUAUUCGCAGCUUCAUUCGCAGCCAUGCUGGUGUAUGAUGCAGAUUGUAUGUUUUAGAAUGAUGACAUGAUUGUUAUUUUGUAGAAUAUGCAUGCUUCACUAUGA
Anopheles arabiensis is the source of this 904-nucleotide long non-coding RNA. RefSeq lists it as uncharacterized. The record is from RefSeq and is a predicted model, not a curated record. The transcript is spliced from 3 exons. Lineage: Eukaryota; Metazoa; Arthropoda; Insecta; Diptera; Culicidae.